AGAGUUUAGUCAUGGCUCAGGAUGAACGCUAGCGGGAGGCUUAAUACAUGCAAGUCGAACGGUAACAUGGAAGCUUGCUUCUGAUGACGAGUGGCGCACGGGUGAGUAACGCGUACACAAUCUACCUAUCACAGGGGGAUAGCCUCGGGAAACUGAGAAUAAUACCCCAUAGUAUUUCCGAACCGCAUGGUUUGGUUAUUAAAGUUCCGGCGGUGAUAGAUGAGUGUGCGUGCCAUUAGAUAGUUGGUGAGGUAACGGCUCACCAAGUCUGCGAUGGCUAGGGGGCGUGAGAGCGUGAUCCCCCACACGGGUACUGAGACACGGACCCGACUCCUACGGGAGGCAGCAGUAAGGAAUAUUGGACAAUGGGCGAAAGCCUGAUCCAGCCAUCCCGCGUGAAGGAUGACGGCCCUAUGGGUUGUAAACUUCUUUUAUAUAGGACGAAACGCCUUCAUUUAUGGGGGCCUGACGGUACUAUACGAAUAAGCACCGGCUAAUUCCGUGCCAGCAGCCGCGGUAAUACGGAAGGUGCAAGCGUUAUCCGGAAUCACU
RNAcentral lists this ribosomal RNA (552 nucleotides) under uncultured Bacteroidota bacterium. RNAcentral's name for it is "bacterial SSU rRNA". It matches the Rfam family "Bacterial small subunit ribosomal RNA", at positions 8 to 555 of the family's 1533-position model. Lineage: Bacteria; Pseudomonadati; Bacteroidota. The record is from RNAcentral.